AAACCAACAGGGAUUGCCCCAGUAACGGCGAGUGAAGCGGCAAAAGCUCAAAUUUGAAAUCCCCCGGGAGUUGUAAUUUGAAGGCAGCGGGUGCAGCGUGAAGAAGUCCAUUGGAACAUGGCGCCACAGAGGGUGAGAGCCCCGUCAGCACGCACCAGGGCCCGCGGCCAAAGAGUCGAGUUGUUUGGGAAUGCAGCUCUAAGUGGGUGGUAAAUUCCAUCUAAAGCUAAAUACCGGCGAGAGACCGAUAGCGAACAAGUACAGUGAUGGAAAGAUGAAAAGCACUUUGAAAAGAGAGUGAAACAGUACGUGAAAUUGUUGGAAGGGAAGGGCUUGCAAGCAGACACAACCUCGGUUGGGCCAGCAUUGGGAACAGGGGGGCCAGAAACGCAAAGGAACGUGGCUCCACGGAGUGUUAUAGCCUUUGUCCAUGGCCCCACCCGGUCCCAAGGCCUGCGUCAUCUAGGAUGCUG
This 473-nucleotide ribosomal RNA is filed under the name [Candida] danieliae. RNAcentral describes it as "eukaryotic LSU rRNA". It matches the Rfam family "Eukaryotic large subunit ribosomal RNA", at positions 62 to 562 of the family's 3401-position model. Lineage: Eukaryota; Fungi; Ascomycota; Pichiomycetes; Serinales; Metschnikowiaceae. The record is from RNAcentral.